GUCCUUCGCCUCGAUUUCCCCAACGAUGACUCUCGCAGGGCGAGGGCGUGGUAGGGGGAGCAGUGUGUGGGCUCCAAGGCGAUUUAUUCGUCUGGCAGGGUUGCGCUUCAGGGUAGGCAGGUCUGACUUGGUAGAAUUCAAGUCGGGUUCGUCUUUCACUCUGGUGCUGCUGCUUCUCGGUGGCUGCUGCAGGGUAGGCAGCUUCGACUUGGUCGCGGUGGGAGCAGUCCUGUCCGCUGUAGCUGGCAGUGGGUGCUACAGGGUAGGCAGGAAUGAGUUGGUCGCGGCAGCGGUUAUCUGGGUGGCUAUAGGUUAGGCAGCUCGGACUUGGUCGUGACGGCGGCUGGGUAGUAUGCUUGGUCGCAGCGGCAGUGAUUUAAGUAGCUAUAGGUUAGGCAGCUUCAAGUGUAGGCAGGUCUGACUUGGUGAAAUUGGUGGCCGGAUCGGCUCCCGGGUAGGCAACUUUGCAGGGACCUCUGGCGCCUUCCACAGAGCUGCUACGGGGUUGAGGAGACUACU
This 519-nucleotide ribosomal RNA is filed under the name Fusarium graminearum. RNAcentral's name for it is "partial large subunit ribosomal RNA". Lineage: Eukaryota; Fungi; Ascomycota; Sordariomycetes; Hypocreales; Nectriaceae. The record is from RNAcentral.